UAGGGAAUCUUCCGCAAUGGACGCAAGUCUGACGGAGCAACGCCGCGUGAGUGAAGAAGGAUUUCGGUUCGUAAAACUCUGUUGUUAGAGAAGAACAGCGCAUAGAGUAACUGUUAUGCGUGUGACGGUAUCUAACCAGAAAGCCACGGCUAACUACGUGCCAGCAGCCGCGGUAAUACGUAGGUGGCAAGCGUUGUCCGGAUUUAUUGGGCGUAAAGCGAGCGCAGGCGGUCAAUUAAGUCUGAUGUGAAAGCCCCCGGCUCAACCGGGGAGGGUCAUUGGAAACUGGUUGACUUGAGUGCAGAAGAGGAGAGUGGAAUUCCAUGUGUAGCGGUGAAAUGCGUAGAUAUAUGGAGGAACACCAGUGGCGAAGGCGACUCUAUGGUCUGUAACUGACGCUGAGGUUCGAAAGCGUGGGUAGCAAACAGG
RNAcentral lists this ribosomal RNA (429 nucleotides) under Bacteroidota bacterium. Its description in RNAcentral is "Bacteroidetes bacterium partial 16S ribosomal RNA". It matches the Rfam family "Bacterial small subunit ribosomal RNA", at positions 355 to 776 of the family's 1533-position model. The record is from RNAcentral. Lineage: Bacteria; Pseudomonadati; Bacteroidota.